Long non-coding RNA from Eriocheir sinensis (Chinese mitten crab), 994 nucleotides. RefSeq lists it as uncharacterized. NCBI's taxonomy places the organism in Eukaryota, Metazoa, Arthropoda, Malacostraca, Decapoda, Varunidae. The record is from RefSeq and is a predicted model, not a curated record. The transcript has 2 exons.
CGGGCAGGUGGGGCUCGUUAGCCGUGGUAGGCAAUUCACCUAGGAGAGCAAACUCCGAACAAUAAACCCGGGCAGGUUGGGCUCGUGAGCCGUCAUAGGUAAUACACCUAGGAGAGCAAACUCCGAACAAUAAACCCGGGCAGGUUGGGCUCGUGAGCCGUCAUAGGUAAUACACCUAGGAGAGCAAACUCCGAACAAUAAACCCGGGCAGGUUGGGCUCGUGAGCCGUCAUAGGUAAUACACCUAGGAGAGCAAACUCCGAACAAUAAACCCGGGCAGGUGGAGCUCGUCAGCCGUGGUAGGCAGUCUGCCUAGGAGAGCAAACUCCGAACAAUAAACCCGGGCAGGUGGAGCUCGUCAGCCGUGGUAGGCAGUCUGCCUAGGAGAGCAAACUCCGAACAAUAAACCGGGGCUUGUGGUGCUCGUUAGAUGUCGUAGACAAUCCACGUGAUGGGAACACCAAAGAAAAGGAAAAUAAAAAGGAACACCAGAAAAAGGAAAAUAUAGUAACAAAACAUCAAGAAAAUAAAAUAAAAAACACAAAUCAUCCACCUUCAGGCCCUAACAUCUUCAAAAUUAUGGGUGAGUCUUUUCUGGGGAGAAAGAGGCUCAUCCAGACCAAAGAACAUCAAAAAGGGAUGAUAUAGAAAGGAACACCAAAAAAAUGGGAAAAAGAGAAAAAAACAUCGCAAGAGAAAAUUAACAACAAUAACAGAACAACGUCAAGAAAAGUAACAUACAAAGAAACAUCAUCCACCAUUCGGCCCCAAACUAACAUCACCAAAAUUAUGGGUGGGUCUCUUCUGGGAGGAAAGCGGCUCACCCAGACCAACGAAGAACAUCAACAAGAGGAUGAUAUGAAAUAAAAGAACAUUAAAAAACACGAAGAAAAGAAAUAAGAAGAAAAAGAACAGAAAAAAACAUCGGAAAAGAAAAACAAGAAGAAAAACACAUCAAGAGAAGAAAAAUAUAAGAAACAUCAUCCACCUUUCGG